CAAACCGAGGAUUCCUCAGUACGGCGAGUGAAGCGGUAAUAGCUCAAAUUUGAAAGCUGCCAACAGGCCGCGUUGUAAUUUGUAGAAGAUGCUUUGGGGGUCGGCCUACUCUAAGUUCCUUGGAACAGGACGUCAUAGAGGGUGAGAAUCCCGUAUGUGAUUAGUGCCUGCUCCCGUGUAAAGCUCUUUCGACGAGUCGAGUUGUUUGGGAAUGCAGCUCAAAAUGGGUGGUAUAUUUCAUCUAAAGCUAAAUAUUGGCCAGAGACCGAUAGCGCACAAGUAGAGUGAUCGAAAGAUGAAAAGCACUUUGGAAAGAGAGUUAAACAGUACGUGAAAUUGUUGAAAGGGAAGCGCUUGCAACCAGACUUGCGGGCGGUCGAUCAUCCGAGGUUCUCCUCGGUGCACUCGAUCGUCUUCAGGCCAGCAUCGGUUUUGGUGGCGGGAUAAAGGCUCUACGAAUGUAGCACCC
This 469-nucleotide ribosomal RNA is filed under the name Helotiales sp. C61-564. RNAcentral's name for it is "eukaryotic LSU rRNA". It matches the Rfam family "Eukaryotic large subunit ribosomal RNA", at positions 66 to 544 of the family's 3401-position model. Lineage: Eukaryota; Fungi; Ascomycota; Leotiomycetes; Helotiales. The record is from RNAcentral.